This 253-nucleotide ribosomal RNA is filed under the name uncultured bacterium. Its description in RNAcentral is "partial 16S ribosomal RNA". It matches the Rfam family "Bacterial small subunit ribosomal RNA", at positions 524 to 776 of the family's 1533-position model. The record is from RNAcentral.
UACGGAGGGUGCAAGCGUUGUUCGGAUUUACUGGGCGUAAAGCGCGCGCAGGUGGGUGAACAAGUCGGAAGUGAAAUCUUGAGGCUCAACCUCGAGGCUGCUCCCGAAACUGUUCGCCUAGGGACUGGUAGAGGCUGGUAGAAUUCCCGGUGUAGCGGUGGAAUGCGUAGAGAUCGGGAAGAACAUCAGUGGCGAAGGCGGCCUGCUGGGCUGUUGCUGACGCUGAGGCGCGACAGCGUGGGGAGCAAACAGG